UACGAAGGGUGCAAGCGUUACUCGGAAUUACUGGGCGUAAAGCGUGCGUAGGCGGUUUGUUAAGUCUGUUGUGAAAGCCCCGGGCUCAACCUGGGAAUGGCAAUGGAAACUGGCGAGCUAGAGUACGGUAGAGGAGAGUGGAAUUCCCGGUGUAGCAGUGAAAUGCGUAGAGAUCGGCAGGAACACCCAGGGGGAAACCAGCCGACUGGGCAUCUACUGACGCUGAGGUGCGAGAGCGUGGGGAGCGAACCGG
Molecule: ribosomal RNA, 253 nt
Filed under: uncultured bacterium
Lineage: Bacteria
Description: partial 16S ribosomal RNA
Rfam family: Bacterial small subunit ribosomal RNA
Source: RNAcentral